GAUGAACGCUGGCGGCGUGCCUAAUACAUGCAAGUCGAGCGAACGGACGAGAAGCUUGCUUCUCUGAUGUUAGCGGCGGACGGGUGAGUAACACGUGGAUAACCAACCUCUAAGACUGGGAUAAUUUCGGGAAACCGGAGCUAAUACCGGAUGAUAUUUUGAACCGCAUGGUUCAAAAGUGAAAGACGGUCUUGCCGUCACUUAUAGAUGGUGCCGCGCUGCAUUAGCUAGUUGGUAAGGUAACGGCUUACCAAGGCAACGAUGCAUAGCCGACCUGAGAGGGUGAUCGGCCACACUGGAACUGAGACACGGUCCAGACUCCUACGGGAGGCAGCAGUAGGGAAUCUUCCGCAAUGGGCGAAAGCCUGACGGAGCAACGCCGCGUGAGUGAUGAAGGUCUUCGGAUCGUAAAACUCUGUUAUUAGGGAAGAACAUAUGUGUAAGUAACUGUGCACAUCUUGACGGUACCUAAUCAGAAAGCCACGGCUAACUACGUG
RNAcentral lists this ribosomal RNA (497 nucleotides) under uncultured bacterium. Its description in RNAcentral is "partial 16S ribosomal RNA". It matches the Rfam family "Bacterial small subunit ribosomal RNA", at positions 28 to 507 of the family's 1533-position model. The record is from RNAcentral.